This 562-nucleotide ribosomal RNA is filed under the name uncultured eukaryote. RNAcentral describes it as "SSU rRNA". It matches the Rfam family "Eukaryotic small subunit ribosomal RNA", at positions 1 to 566 of the family's 1831-position model. The record is from RNAcentral.
UCUGGUUGAUCCUGCCAGUAGUCAUAUGCUUGUCUCAAAGAUUAAGCCAUGCAUGUCUAAGUAUAAGCAAUUUAUACAGUGAAACUGCGAAUGGCUCAUUAAAUCAGUUAUCGUUUAUUUGAUAGUUCCUUUACUACAUGGUAUAACUGUGGUAAUUCUAGAGCUAAUACAUGCUUAAAAUCUCGACCCUUUGGAAGAGAUGUAUUUAUUAGAUAAAAAAUCAAUGUCUUCGGACUCUUUGAUGAUUCAUAAUAAUUUUUCGAAUCGCAUGGCCUUGUGCUGGCGAUGGUUCAUUCAAAUUUCUGCCCUAUCAACUUUCGAUGGUAGGAUAGUGGCCUACCAUGGUUUCAACGGGUAACGGGGAAUAAGGGUUCGAUUCCGGAGAGGGAGCCUGAGAAACGGCUACCACAUCCAAGGAAGGCAGCAGGCGCGCAAAUUACCCAAUCCUAAUUCAGGGAGGUAGUGACAAUAAAUAACGAUACAGGGCCCAUUCGGGUCUUGUAAUUGGAAUGAGUACAAUGUAAAUACCUUAACGAGGAACAAUUGGAGGGCAAGUCUGGUA